AUGAGGCAGACCGUGGUCCUGUACCCCGGUGCCGGCGUCGGACACGUUCGCCCCAUGACAGAGCUCGCCAACGUCUUUCUCAAGCACGGCUACGACGUCACCAUGGUACUCGUCGAGCCGCCCUUUAAGUUGUCAGACUCCGGCACCACUGCCAUCGAGCGCAUUGCCGCCUCCAACCCGUCCAUCUCCUUUCAUGUCCUCCCAUCCCUCCAGGCUCCAGACUUUGCGGCCCCAAGCAAGCACCCUUUCUUACUCAUGCUCCAGCUCUUGCACUAUUACAACGAGCAGUUUGAAGCAUUCCUCCACGGCAUCGAUCGAAAAAGCUUGCACUCUGUUGUCCUCGACAUGUUCUGCAUCGACGCCACCGAUGUUUGCGUGAAGCUCGGUGUCCCGGUCUACACGUUCUUCGCGGGGAGCGCCUCAUGCCUGUCAGUCCUAACCCAACUCCCGGCAUUGAUUGCCGGUAGGCAGACAGGCUUGAAGGAACUCGGGGACACACCCCUCGAUUUCGUCGGCGUUCCACCGAUGCCAGCGUCUCAUCUCAUCAAGGAACUAUUAGAGCACCCGGAAGAUGAGAUGUGCAAGGCCAUGAUGAACAUCUGGAAGCGCAACACAGAGACCAUGGGCAUUCUGCUGAACACGUUCGAGUUGUUGGAGAACCGCGCGGUGCAGUCUCUCAGGGGCCCACUCUGCAUCCCCGAAAGGAUCCUGCCUCCGAUCUACUGUGUUGGUCCAUUGGUCGGCAAGGGCGCCAAGGAUGAGGACAAAGUAGAGAGGAACGAAUGCCUCGAGUGGCUCGACAUGCAGCCCGACCGCAGUGUCGUGUUCUUCUGUUUGGGGAGCAAGGGCGCGCUCUCGGAAGAGCAACUGAAGGAGAUAGCCGUUGGCUUGGAGAGGUCAGGGCAACGGUUCCUAUGGUCUGUGCGCAGACCUGCUGGAAGCGACAACCCGGAGAAAUACUUGAAAGUGGGCCCUGAGCCGGACCUUGGCUCACUCCUGCCUCAAGGGUUCUUAGAGCGGACCAAGGGCAGGGGCCUGGUCGUCAAGUCAUGGGCACCACAGAUGGACGUGCUCGACCAUAGGGCAACCGGCGCGUUCGUGACGCACUGCGGUUGGAACUCGGUGCUGGAGGCCAUUGUGGCUGGGGUGCCGAUGUUGUGCCUGCCACUGGAAGCGGAGCAGAAGAUGAACAAGGUGUCUAUGACAGAGGACAUGGGCGUCGCUGUCGAGCUGGAAGGAUACAUGACAGGUUUUGUCAAGGCAGAUGAGGUGGAGGUCAAGGUGCGGCUGGUAAUUGAGGGCGAGGAAGGGAAGCAGCUCAGGGCCCGGGUAGCUGCUCGCAGGGAGGAGGCCGAGGCGGCCCUGGAGGAAGGUGGCCCGUCCCGGGUGGCGUUUGCCCAGUUUCUGUUGGAUGUGGAUAGUCUUGGAAAGCAGCUCAGGGAAUGA
Molecule: ribosomal RNA, 1446 nt
Filed under: Triticum aestivum (bread wheat)
Lineage: Eukaryota; Viridiplantae; Streptophyta; Magnoliopsida; Poales; Poaceae
Description: partial small subunit ribosomal RNA
Source: RNAcentral